This 492-nucleotide ribosomal RNA is filed under the name uncultured bacterium. RNAcentral describes it as "partial 16S ribosomal RNA". It matches the Rfam family "Bacterial small subunit ribosomal RNA", at positions 30 to 507 of the family's 1533-position model. The record is from RNAcentral.
AUUGAACGCUGGCGGCAUGCUUUACACAUGCAAGUCGAACGGUAACAGGCCUUCGGGUGCUGCCGAGUGGCGAACGGGUGAGUAAUGCAUCGGAACGUGCCCAGAGGUGGGGGAUAACGCAGCGAAAGCUGUGCUAAUACCGCAUGUGAUCUGAGGAUGAAAGCGGGGGACCAAGCAGCAAUGUUUGGCCUCGCGCCUCUGGAGCGGCCGAUGUCAGAUUAGGUAGUUGGUGGGGUAAAGGCCUACCAAGCCGACGAUCUGUAGCUGGUCUGAGAGGACGACCAGCCACACUGGGACUGAGACACGGCCCAGACUCCUACGGGAGGCAGCAGUGGGGAAUUUUGGACAAUGGGCGCAAGCCUGAUCCAGCAAUGCCGCGUGCGGGAAGAAGGCCUUCGGGUCGUAAACCGCUUUUGUACGGAACGAAAAGGCUCUGGCUAAUACCUGGGGCUGAUGACGGUACCGUAAGAAUAAGCACCGGCUAACUACGUG